RNAcentral lists this ribosomal RNA (737 nucleotides) under Candidatus Synechococcus spongiarum. RNAcentral's name for it is "bacterial SSU rRNA". It matches the Rfam family "Bacterial small subunit ribosomal RNA", at positions 796 to 1533 of the family's 1533-position model. Lineage: Bacteria; Bacillati; Cyanobacteriota; Cyanophyceae; Synechococcales; Synechococcaceae. The record is from RNAcentral.
CUGGCCGUAAACGAUGAACACUAGAUGUUGGGGGAAUCGACCCCUCCAGUGUCGUAGCUAACGCGUUAAGUGUUCCGCCUGGGGAGUACGCACGCAAGUGUGAAACUCAAAGGAAUUGACGGGGGCCCGCACAAGCGGUGGAGUAUGUGGUUUAAUUCGAUGCAACGCGAAGAACCUUACCAAGGCUUGACAUCCUGCGAAUCUCCAAGAAAUUGGAGAGUGCCUUCGGGAACGCAGUGACAGGUGGUGCAUGGCUGUCGUCAGCUCGUGUCGUGAGAUGUUGGGUUAAGUCCCGCAACGAGCGCAACCCACGUUUUUAGUUGCCAGCAUUCAGUUGGGCACUCUAGAAAGACUGCCGGUGACAAACCGGAGGAAGGUGUGGACGACGUCAAGUCAUCAUGCCCCUUACGCCUUGGGCUACACACGUACUACAAUGCUGCGGACAAAGAGUAGCGAUCUUGCAAAAGUUAGCUAAUCUCGUAAACCGUGGCUCAGUUCAGAUCGUAGGCUGCAACUCGCCUACGUGAAGGAGGAAUCGCUAGUAAUCGCAGGUCAGCAUACUGCGGUGAAUACGUUCCCGGGCCUUGUACACACCGCCCGUCACACCAUGGAAGUUGGCCAUGCCCGAAGUCGUUACUCUAACCUUUUGGAAGAGGGUGCCGAAGGCAGGGCUAAUGACUGGGGUGAAGUCGUAACAAGGUAGCCGUAGCGGAAGCUGCGGCUGGAUCACCUCCUAA